Molecule: non-coding RNA, 134 nt
Filed under: Asterionellopsis glacialis
Lineage: Eukaryota; Bacillariophyta; Plagiogrammaphyceae; Rhaphoneidales; Asterionellopsidaceae
Source: RNAcentral
GCGAUCGUGGCCGCGACCUUGGCGUUAACACCCACGACUAUGGAUGCCUUGCAAUCAAAACUGAAUGAUUGGGGAUGGGGUGAAGCCGAUAUUGACAAUCGUGUGGCGGAGUUGCUAGGGAAAGAAACAACAUU